Long non-coding RNA from Mirounga angustirostris (Northern elephant seal), 2734 nucleotides. RefSeq lists it as uncharacterized. The transcript is spliced from 3 exons. The record is from RefSeq and is a predicted model, not a curated record. NCBI's taxonomy places the organism in Eukaryota, Metazoa, Chordata, Mammalia, Carnivora, Phocidae.
CGCAGGCGAUACCCUUGUGCUGGCCACGAUGCGGACACUUUGGGGACACCCAGGGACUCCUGAGGUCUGGGAUUUGGUGACCACUCAGAUCCGCUGCCUGUACGGCUCAGGCGCCCAGGGCUCUCUCGCUCCCAGCCAGGUGAUGUCUGCUUCCUUCCGACGCAUGGAGCUAUGUUAGUGUUCCAGAGCAAAGGAAAUCCUGGAGAAGUGCUCUCAAGAGGAGCUUAGGAAAAGACACCCGCGAGGAUUCUGACAUGUCCUGCUGAGCAAGGCGGUCUCCUCACUGAGUUACAGAGCUGCGGUCCUGAUCCUUGGACAAAACCGAUCAUGUGAGCAAUGUUUGGGGUAAAUGACAUGGAGCCAUGGUCCUUCACCACGCAUCAGAAGUUGGACUCCUACAAAUCACAGCCACCCAAGACACUGCCACUGGGUAAUGAUAUAGGUUUCCGGAUGCCGGACAUAACUGUCACAAACUCCCUCAGGAAGGAUUUUAGGGCAGAGCAAACCUCCAAUUCAGGACCUAUUCUCUCUUGCUUUACACAACUCUAAGAAGCUUCAUUUUAUUUUGGCAACUCACAGGAAGUAGGAAAUAAAAUUAGGAGGAACAGGUGGUCUGGAAACACAGUAAGAGAUGGACGACAAUUGGCAUGAAGGAGGGCACGUGAUAUGAUGAGCACUGGGUGUUAUACACAACUGAUGAGUCAUUGAAUACUGCAUCUGAAACUAAUGAUAUACUCUAGGUUGGCUAAUUGAAUUUACAUUAAAAAAAGAGAGAGAUGGAUGACAACCAUGUGAUCCAGAAGAAAACAGAAGAAACGUGAAAAGCAAAAACAAGAACAAGAGAAGGGACAGAGUCCAGUAUAAACUGAUAGAGAGCCCAAGAAACUUCCUCUUCCUCUUAGAGAUACAUCAUGCUAGCCUAUUUACUUGCACUAUCUAAUUUAUUAUCACAUCAACCUCAGGACAGAGGUACUGUUAUAUCCUUUUUUUAAAAAAGAUUUAUUUAUUUAUUUUAGAGAGAGAGAGCGCGUGUGCGCACACAUGAGCGGAGGAGGGGCAGAGGGACAGAGAGACAGAAAGAAUCCUAAAGUCAACUCCCCAUUGGGCUCAGACCCCCAACGCAGGGCUUGAUCCCGGGACCCUGAGAUCAUGACCUGAGUCAAAACCAAGAGUCAGACACUCAACUGACUGAGCCACCCAGGUGUGCUGGUACUAUUAUAUUCUGUAUUUUACAGAUAAAAAGCAACAUUAAGAAAUGUUGCUAACAUCACCCAGUUGGGAAGGUAAUCCCCAGGAACAUUGUCCCAUUGUCCCAAGAUCUAGUACUGGCUGUGUGCCUAGGUGUGCAUGUGACCCAGGGAGAGGGAUAAGCAAGACCCUGCACCUCUUGGUUAAAUAGCCAAGAAAGCACACAGUGCAUUUUGGAAAUUUACCAACUUCCACACAAGAUGGGAAAAAUAAAAAGUUUGUAAUCACAUUAAACAGCUUCAAGUUUCUAGAAAAUUUAUAUGCAUUGAAGUACAGGUAUAAAUGUUUGGAACUCCAAGAAAUUUUACAAACCAGAAACACAGAGAUGUUACAGCAGUAGUUAAAUUAAUGGAUUGAUUUAUCUUGAAGCAUUAUGUGGUAACUUUGCGAUGAUAUUGUUGUUGCCUAUUCUCUCCACUCAGCCUGGAUUUUUUUUUCUGUAGUUUUCUAGAAUAUUCAGUGAGGCAGUGGACUGCCAGAGCCAGCAAGCUCUACUCAAGAAUCUAAUUCUCUGUCCUUUUUCCCCCAUAACUGAAGAUUGGAUCAGCUAGGGCUGGGUUUCCCCAUCACAUCCUAUUGAUGACAGUGACUAGUAAAGAAAUGAUGUGUGCAUUUGUCUCUUCCUGCAAAAAAAGAACCUGAUGGGACCCCUUAAAGUGGAUAAAUUCUCCAUGAUGAAUGUCUCCCCUAAUUCUUUCUGAGGCUUAGGGAUUUGGGGAAGGUAAAUGCUUCAUCAUCAGAAAUGACACUUUGGAAGUCACCCGAGGAGCAUGUUACCUGUCUGAGACUCUGUCUUCUAAGCCCAUCUGAGAGUCAGAAAAUAGAGAAUCCAAGUUAGGAGUCACCGUCAGGCACAUCCAGUACAAUCUGGGGCAAUUUAUGGAGGGACAAAUAACCCUGCACAAUUCAUCAAGUCCUUAGGCCUUUGGUAAAUAACUUUUUUUUUGAGAGAGAGAGAGGGGGAGAGAGAGCGAGCAGGUGGGCAGGGACAGAGUGAAAGAGAGAAUCUUAAGUAGGCUCCACGAUCCCUGAGAUCACGACCUGAGCCAAAACCAAGAGUCAGAUGCUUAACCGAGCCACCCAGGUGCCCCAGUAAAUAACUUUUGGUGCUCAUAGUCCUCACUCUGAAUGACAAGCGAUGUUCAAUAUGGAAACGGUUAAGAUAAAGAAAAACUUUUGCUACUCAAAGAACUUACCUUCAGCUCUCCAGAAAACUUAGCUAUCCAGCAAAGAUUCGUAUCCUGAUCAUUCCAAUGAACCACAGUUUUAUUCUAUUGUGCUUUUGGAAGAAAGCAUCUUUUGUUGUGCUGGUGGAGAGAAUCUGGACCACAUGAACUAGUCUCACCUGGCAUGACGUUUCUUCUGUGCCUUCAACAAUUUCACAGCAUAUUGAUUCUUCAUUUCAGCCUCAGACACAUCAGUUAAUUAGCUAAUCUGGGUUUUGAUUCACAUGUAUUAAACACCAUCUUCUUUGAGCAUCCAGAAA